CUUGGCGUCUUUGCCCUUGUCGUCGGCGUCCUUGUUCUUCUUGGCGUCGCCGCCGUCGUCCUUGGCCUUCUUGGGAGGGUCCUUGGGGGAGAUGAAGUCGACCUUCUUCUUGGUCUUGACCUCCAGAAACUCCUUCAGCUUCCAUGGGUCCACCUUGCCCACCACUUUCAGCUUGUUGUGCGCCGCGUCCACGCUGACCCCUUCCACCCCUGUGGCACGCGAUCGAUGAGGUGAUCAAUGGUCAGUCCUUGCCCCUCAAAGAGCAAACAUGAUCGAUGCUAAGAACCUGGGAGGAAUUCCUUCAGGAAUCGAAGUUCAAAUCGAAUGUUUGACGAACCCAAAUUGGUAGAUUCUACCGAAAAGAACAAAAAAGAAUCGGUUUUGCUUCGUAGAAAAGGAAAAUUGCGAUUACCCUAAAUUUUCCUCCACCCUGUUUCCUCAUCCAACUUGUGAUUCAUGCCAUCGGGAAUUGAUGGGCUAAAGUUGGAUUAAAAGGCUUCAAAGGUCAAAUUUUGGAAAACGAGAACGAAGGUGAACUACACAAACGAGAGGAUCGAAUCAACGUCAAAUCCUAGAACGAAAAAAGAGCGAGCGACAGAGGAGGGGAGGGGAAGAAGGGUAGUACCUUCGAGGCCCUUGACGAGCUUGCGGACCUUGAGGGCGCAGCCCUCGCAGUGCAUGUCGAGCUUCACCUCCACGGGCGUCGGUCCCUCCUCCUUCUUCUUCUCCCCUCCUCCUCCCUUUUCCUUCUUCUCAUCGGCUCCCUUCUUCUCCCCGUCUC
Molecule: long non-coding RNA, 781 nt
Filed under: Musa acuminata (dwarf banana)
Lineage: Eukaryota; Viridiplantae; Streptophyta; Magnoliopsida; Zingiberales; Musaceae
Description: long non-coding RNA (MACU_LNC002166)
Source: RNAcentral